Bos taurus (domestic cattle) is the source of this 1294-nucleotide long non-coding RNA. NCBI's taxonomy places the organism in Eukaryota, Metazoa, Chordata, Mammalia, Artiodactyla, Bovidae. The record is from Ensembl.
CACCGAAUAACCUGCAGGGAGAGUGAGCCAUGGGCAGGGACGUGGCCCAGCGAAGGGGUCCCCAUCGGAUCCCCACCGGGCUGUCUUCUCCGGGCUUCGACACGCUGCAGCCUCAACAACCACCACACCGUCCUUUUAGUAAGUUUCCACACCGGGCCAUGGGCGGAUCAAGACCGCCCCUCUAAGUGGCUGCGAGCAUAUACGGAAUAAAGCACACUCUGCGGACUUUCAUCUUCGAUAAGGGGAUGCAAAAGCGGGGGACAGAGCCUGCCAGCGCGCCCCCACGGGGGACAGGCCCGCACCGACCGAGCAGAUGACCCCGUCCAGGUGAGCCCAUCCCGCCACGCACUGGGCGGAGUCCCGCGCAGGGAGGCAGAAAAGAAGAUUGUCCUUCAAAAUAAAAGGAGACUCUUCCCCCUGGCCCCAGAUGUCCAAGGACCCUGUUGUAGAUGCUUGAGAUGAAGCAGAAGCAGGAGAUGCUGCUGAGGCCCUGCCCUUAGGGAUCUUAACGACUGGCUGGUCACAAAGCCUUGUCCCCAUUUGAGGAGGAGCAUUAAAUAAUUUAAGCUGGCUUACUUAUUAAAAAUAGGGCUUCCUUGGUGGCUUAGACAGUAAAGAAUCUGCCUACCAAUGCAGGAGACCCGACUUAGAUCCCUGGGUCAGGAAGAUUCCCCUGGAAUAGGAAAUGGCAACCCACUCUAGUAUUCUUGCCUGGAGAAUUCCAUGAACAGAAGAGCCUGGUGGACUACAGUCUGUGGGGUCGCAGAGAGGCAGACACGACUGAGCGGCUAGCACUUACAGUUAAAAGUUGCUUGGGGGGGUAUAUGUAUACUUAGAGCUGAUUCACCUUAUUGUACUGCAGGAAAUAAUAAAAUAUUGUAAAGCAAUUAUCCUUCAAUUAAAAAUAAAUUUUAAAUGGAAUACUACUCAGCCAUAAAAAGGACGGAGUAGGGUCCUUUUUAAAGGACCUUUUAAAAGGGAUUUGCAUCCCUUCUGGUGAGUUAGAUGAACCUGUUAUGCAGCAGGAAGUCAGAGAAAAACAAAUACCCUAUAUUGAUGCACAUUUAUGGAAUCUAGAGAAAUGAUAGUGAUGAACCUGUCGGCAGGACAGGAAUAGAGAUGUAGACAUAGAGAGCAGAUUUAUGAACACAGCUGGGGAAGGAGAGGGUAGGAUGAACUGAGAGAGUAGUAUUGAAACAUACAUUACCAUCUGUAAGACAGAUAGCUAGUGGGAAGCUGCUGUAUGACAUGGGGAGCUCAACCGGAUGCUCUGUGACAACCUAGAAGGGUGGGG